GGCGUAAGGGUUUGUAGGCGGCUUUAAAAAAAUAAUAAUUAAAGCUAGAAUCAAAUAGAGGUCACCGUGAGAGAACACUUAGUGUAGGGCUGAUAUCUGUAAAUACUUAGUGGAAUUCUAAUUAGCGAAGGCUCUUUUCCAAAUAAUGAUUGACGCUGAGAAACGAAGGGGAGGAACGACAAUAGGAUUAGAUACCCUGGCAUCCCUCUCUGUCAACGAUGAAUGGUAGUUGCUAGUUCUAAUGAGUUAGUGGCGAUGUAAACACGUUAACCAUUCCGCCUUGUGAGUACAAUUGCAAAGUUGAAAACAAAAAAAUUAGUCGGUUUCGGAGCAAACGAAGUGAAGCAUGUUAUUUAAUUCGAUAAUCCGC
RNAcentral lists this ribosomal RNA (370 nucleotides) under Gautieria sp. 'pterosperma'. RNAcentral describes it as "SSU rRNA". It matches the Rfam family "Bacterial small subunit ribosomal RNA", at positions 557 to 962 of the family's 1533-position model. The record is from RNAcentral. Lineage: Eukaryota; Fungi; Basidiomycota; Agaricomycetes; Gomphales; Gomphaceae.